AGGACGAACGCUGGCGGCGUGCUUAACACAUGCAAGUCGAGCGGAAAGGCCCUUCGGGGUACUCGAGCGGCGAACGGGUGAGUAACACGUGAGUAAUCUGCCCCUAGCUCUGGGAUAGCUCCGGGAAACCGGGAUUAAUACCGGAUACGACCACCUUAGACAUCUUUUGUGGUGGAAAGAAUUUCGGCUAGGGAUGAGCUCGCGGCCUAUCAGCUUGUUGGUGGGGUAACGGCCUACCAAGGCGACGACGGGUAGCCGGCCUGAGAGGGCGACCGGCCACACUGGGACUGAGACACGGCCCAGACUCCUACGGGAGGCAGCAGUGGGAAUAUUGCGCAAUGGGCGAAAGCCUGACGCAGCGACGCCGCGUGGGGAUGAAGGCCUUCGGGUUGUAAACCCUUUCAGCAGGGACGAAGCGAAAGUGACGGUACCUGCAGAAGAAGCGCCGGCUAACUACGUGCCAGCAGCCGC
RNAcentral lists this ribosomal RNA (471 nucleotides) under uncultured bacterium. Its description in RNAcentral is "SSU rRNA". It matches the Rfam family "Bacterial small subunit ribosomal RNA", at positions 26 to 518 of the family's 1533-position model. The record is from RNAcentral.